This 449-nucleotide ribosomal RNA is filed under the name uncultured bacterium. RNAcentral's name for it is "bacterial SSU rRNA". It matches the Rfam family "Bacterial small subunit ribosomal RNA", at positions 338 to 795 of the family's 1533-position model. The record is from RNAcentral.
CCUACGGGUGGCUGCAGUCGAGGAUCUUCGGCAAUGGGCGCAAGCCUGACCGAGCGACGCCGCGUGUGCGAUGAAGGCCUUCGGGUUGUAAAGCACUGUCGAGGGGGAGGAAAGCCGCAAGGUCUGACCUAUCCCUGGAGGAAGCACGGGCUAAGUUCGUGCCAGCAGCCGCGGUAAGACGAACCGUGCGAACGUUGUUCGGAAUCACUGGGCUUAAAGGGCGCGUAGGCGGAUCAGCAAGUCUGGGUUGAAAUCCUCCGGCUUAACCGGAGAACAGGCUUGGAUACUGCUGAUCUCGAGGGAGGCAGGGGCAGUUGGAACUUCCGGUGGAGCGGUGAAAUGCGUUGAUAUCGGAAGGAACGCCGGUGGCGAAAGCGAACUGCUGGACCUCUACUGACGCUGAGGCGCGAAAGCCAGGGGAGCAAACGGGAUUAGAUACCCGUGUAGUC